GGGGAGUCAGAAAAGCUUAAGGUGGAAAGAGCAUAAGGGCUGCUUGGGAAGGAAACUACAGUCCCCACCCAACUUCGCCAAAAGCAAAACAUUUGCAUUCAGGAAUGAGGGGCUAUCAGACUGAAAUUAACCAAGGAGUGAAUGGUGGCUGGAAGGUUAAUUUACCCCAUCUGUGAAAUAAGGAUAUUACCUGUCUUUUCCACUUGACAGUUUUUGUGGAGAUAAUUCGAAGGUUGGAAAGUGGAAGAGGAUAGAACAAAAGAGAUGCAGACAGCAGGAAGCCAGGAGACUUUGUGCAGUAUCUUGGAUGAGAAAGGAAGAAAAUGUUUCAAGAAUGAGGAGUGAUUGUGUCACAAACAGAGAGUGAGUAAAACAAGGACUAAGAACUGUGCGUUGGAGGUCACUGAAGAACAGUUUCAGCAGUGUGGAGGACAAAAGAGUAAAGUAGUUUUGAGAAACAAAAGACUCUUUCAAGGAGUCUUUUUUCUUUAUCUUAUUUUUAUCUUAGUAUGUUUUACUGAUGGAAAAUUUCAUGCACAAAAAUAGCAAGACAGAGACUUCUACUUUGAAACAAAAUGGAGUAACAGGGGCCAUGUUUACUUUCCUACAUGAAAUAACUGAAAAAUGGACAAAAUAUAUGGAAGAGUGAUUUGAAAUGCCAGGAAACAGGCAAAAAAAGACAAUGAUCCCUGAAAGGCAGGAAACAAACGAGCGAGCCAUGUGAUUGCUGCAGCUUACUUGAGAUAGUUUUUAGGCCUCAGCACAAAGACAGGGGUAGAGCUUGGUGGACUCUCUGAGUUGAGGAUGUGGAACAGAGACUGAGAGUCUAGGGAGACCAAGGUAGCUCGAGGUCACGGAACAGAUUACUGGAGAGGAGAGAGCUACACGCAGAAUUUCUGCACGUAUUUUCCCUUGAUUAUUUAUCUCAGUACUUUUUACUACAAAUCCCACUAGAAGGAUUAGAAGGAAUAAUGCCUGGUACGAGCACACAGCACUGUGAAUGGCACCUUUUCCCUUCAGCUAGAAUGAAUGGCAUUUAGUAUAAAAUUCACAGGGUUUUGCCUCAAUGAGACUAAUGUGGCCCAGACAGAACAUUGCCAUGUCCCAGACAGAACACUGCCAUGUCCCACCUGACAUUUUAAAAGCAAGAUUCCAAAAGAUCAUUGCUAAGUAACUGUUUUAAUCAACUUUGUGUUGCUGACCAAAAUACUAGACAAGAACAAGUUGGAGGAGGGAGAGUUUAUCUGGGACUCCAGUUUCAGAGGUCUCAUCCAGAAACUGCCAGGUCUAUUUCUCUGGGCCCAAAGCUAGGCAGCACCUCAUGGCUGAAGGGCAAGAUGGAGAAAAACAGCUCACCACAUGGGCCUGGAAGCAGAGGGGCAGAGAAGGGGCUGCAGGGAAGAACAACCCUUCUAAGGCAUGCCCCCAGGAACCACCACCUCUCCAGCCAUGCCCUGCCUGCCUGCAGUUACUAACCAGUCAGUCCAUCAAACUAGGAUGGGUUGAUUAAAUACAAUCACUUUGCCUCUGAAUAUUCCAGCAUUAACACAAGGAGCUUUGCGGGGACACCUCAUCCAAACCAAAACAGUAACUUGAAAACAUCCCAGGAGAUAGCUCAAAAAUACAGGAAUACAAACAUACCCAGUACCCUUCAAGUUAAAAUUAGUAAUGCCUGGCAUGUAAAAAAAAAGUUACUAAGCAGGAAAAGAAACAAGAAAAUAUUAUUAUCACUAAGAGAUAAACCAAAACUAGCCCAUAAUUAACAUAUACAUUAGAAUUAGAAAAUAAAGUCUAGGAAAUAAUUAUUAUGACUAUAUUAUAUAUGUUUAAAAAGUUAAAGCUGUAGAAGAUAUUAAAGCACAUCUUCUAGAGAUGAAAACUAUAAUAUCAAUGAUAAAAAUAUAAUGGGUAGAACUAAUAACAGAUCAAAUAUUAUAGAUCACAGUUCAAGAAAAGACUAGUGAACUUGAAGAUAUAAUAGAAACUAUCUAAAACAAGACACAUAAAGAAAAGAGAAUAAUAAUUGAAAAAUGAUCAGAGCAUCAGUAAAUUGUGGAACAACUUCCAGUAGAAGAAAAUACAAGAGAAAACACUUAUGGGGUCUGGUGAAGAUUUUUCACAUACCACAUCAAAAGUAGUACACAUUAAAAAUUUUAAUAAAUUGGACUUACCAAAAUUAAAAUGUUUGCUUUUUAAAGGGCACUGUUUCUGCUUCUUAAAAGACAUUGUUAAGAGGAUAAAAGGAUUGGGAGAAAAUAUCUGAAAAUCAUAUAUCUGAUAAAGGAUUUACAUCCAGAAUAUUUAAAAAAUAUUCUUAAAACGCAACAAUAAGGAAAUAGUUCAAUAAAAAGGGAUAAAAGAUUUAAACAGGAACUUUAUUAAAGAAAAUUUGUAAAUGAAAAGUAAGCACAUUAAAAGAUGCUCAACUUCAUUAGUAACGAAAUGCAAAUUAAAACCACAAUGAGAAAUCAUACCUAAUGGAAUGGUAACAAUAAAAAAAAAAACCUAACUAUAUGCCAAGUGUUGAUUAGGAUGUGGAGGAUCUGGAACUCAUACACAGAGAAUAGCAAUAUAAAAUUAUACAAAUACCCUGGAAUACAGUUUUUCAGUUUUUUAAAAAUUUAAAUGAACACCUGCCAUAUGAUCAGUCAUUCCAUUCCAGGUAUUUAUGCAGAAUAAAUGAAAGCAUAUGUCUACUUAAAGACCUGUAAGAGCUUUAUUUGUAAGACCCCUAAACUGGAAAUAAUCCCAGUGCCCAUCAACAGAGGAAUGGAUAAGCAAACUCUAGUAUAAGUAAUUCUCAGCAAUAAAGAAAUUGAACUGUUUGUGCAUGCUGCUGCAACAUAGAUGAGUCUCAAAAUUUUUAUUCUGUGUGAAAGAAACCGGACAAAAGAGAGAGAACAUAUUGAAUUAUUUCAUUUGUAAAAUUUCUAUAAAAUGAGCCAGACACCAUGACUUGCAUCUGUAGUUUCAGCUAUUCGGGAGGCUGAAACAGGAGGAUCACUUGAACCCCUUGAACCCAGGGGUUUGGGUCUAUCCUGGGCAACAUAGUAAGGCCCCAUAUCAAACAAAUAUUAGAAAAUGCAAAUGCAUUGAUAGUGACAAAUCAGUCAGUGGUUGGCUGGGGAGGUAGAAUAGGAGGGAAGAGUUUCAAAGGGGAACUAGGUAUCUUUCGGGGGUCAUACAUAUGUUCACUAUCUUGAUUUACUGGUAUGUUGUGCUAAUUACUUAUUAAAUUCCACAUAUCAAAUAUAUACAGUUUAUUAUAUGUCAACUAUAGUUAAUAAUUUUUUUUAAAUUAUAAUGUAGCAAGAUAAAUAUAAUAUUCCCAUCACCCAGCUUAAAUAACUUUCAGCAUUCUGCUAUUCUCUUUCAAGGAGUUUUGCUAUCAAGGGGAGCAGAGAAAUGGGCUGUGCUUAGAAAGAUCUGACAUCAAACAAGCAUUUUUAAUUUUUACUAAGAUGAGACAUGCUACAGUGUGCUUGUAUGUAGAUGAGAGGAGAGGACAAACUGACACAAGAGUAGAGCAAAUGACUGAGAGUCCUUGAGUGGCAGGAGGGCCUGGGCUGGUGUUGUGUGUGCAAGGGAGGGAUGGGCCUGGGAGAAGAGAAUAGCUCAUCUAUGACAGGAGGGAAGACAAAGACAUGAAUAGGUUCACUUAAUAGGCCAUACUGAGUCAUUGUUACUGAUGAUAAUAUCAGUAAUUACAAUGAGAAUAGUUAAUAGGCUUUUGUAUUCAUUAAUAAGAUGAGUCACACAAAUUUAGCAGUGCUUGAGUUACUUGGAUGAAGUUUUCAACAAAGUUACCAAUAAGUAUGUUAUAGGUACAGAUUUCUCUGUAUUUUCAGCUAAGAAAAAACAAUGACCCCAACCCCAGCUCUCAUUUGGUCUGAAUUGGAGUAAUCAAUUGCCCUAGAUGUUGGAAACUCUUCUGCCUGUAUAUUCAGUGUUAAAUUAUAUUUCCAUUCAUUUUUUUUUUCGGUGUUUGUGGUAUCUCACAAGUAACUACUUCUGUUUUCCUAUUUCCCAACACCUUGUUGGGACCACCUUCACUUUUACCACCACUAUCUACACAACAAAAGUAACAAUGGUUACCAUUUAUUAAACGUUGCUAGGCGCCACUAUCUCCAUCUUCAUAGCAGCCCUGUGAGGUAGAUGGUAUGAUUAGCCCCUGUUGACAGCUAUGGAAAAUUAGGUGUCAGAGUUAGGCUAUUGCCCCAAUAUCACAUCUCAGAAAUAUGAGAGCCAGAAUGAAAAUUCAAGUCCAUCUGACUCUAAAGUCCUUGCUCUGAAGAGUUAUUAGGCUAUAUGACUGGUCCUUAUAAAUGAGAAGUUUUACUGGCAAGAGUAGAUAUAUUCAUUUUUCUCUCCAAUUCUAAUUUAUUGUAAAGAUCAUAUUUUGACAAUAAUAAAAGAACUCGGAAAAAUGAAAAUAAUUCACAGUUCCGACAUCCUGUUGCAACAACUGUUUUCAUUUUUCUCCAUUUCCUUUUGAUCCUUAUCCAUAUGUACAUAUUUUGCAUAGUUGUAGAUGCAAUUUUAUAUUCUGUUUUUAUGCUUAAUGUUAUAACAGACAUUUUCCUUGUUGCUAUUUCAACUUUAAUGGAUGUAUUACUACUUAUAAAAAUGGAAUAUUAAAAUAUUAAAUUAUUGUGUUUUGUUAAUGUGUGAUGAUUUAGUUAAUCAAUUACCCACAGUGGACAAGAUUUGUUUCCAGUUUUUUAGUUUUAUAAACAAAGCUGAAGCAAACUGAUAUCCCCCCAUCUUUUGUCAAUUUUCUCUUAGGAUAUAUUCCCAGGAAUAAGAUUGCCAAAUAAGAAUUUGAACAUAUUUAUGAAUCUGAUACUUUAAAAAAGGAUAAAAUUAGGAGAGUUUGUAUCUUAGAUCAAGGUAGAUAAAUUUUAUAACUAUCAAGAAUGGAUUAACUAUAUGAAUUAUUGUUUAGGAGGGUCACAAUUGAAGAAAAACUGGGAAUGACUGCUAAUGGGUACACAAUUGCUUUUGGGGAUGUUGAAAUAUUCUGGAAUUACAUAGUGACGAUGGCUAUCCAGCAAUGUUGUACUAAAAA
Molecule: long non-coding RNA, 5068 nt
Organism: Sciurus carolinensis (gray squirrel)
Lineage: Eukaryota; Metazoa; Chordata; Mammalia; Rodentia; Sciuridae
Exons: 4
Source: RefSeq, a predicted model, not a curated record